This 486-nucleotide ribosomal RNA is filed under the name Fructobacillus fructosus. RNAcentral describes it as "bacterial SSU rRNA". It matches the Rfam family "Bacterial small subunit ribosomal RNA", at positions 83 to 557 of the family's 1533-position model. Lineage: Bacteria; Bacillati; Bacillota; Bacilli; Lactobacillales; Lactobacillaceae. The record is from RNAcentral.
CUUUCCAAGUAAGUGGCGAACGGGUGAGUAACACGUGAAUAACCUACCUCAAAGACUGGGAUAACCAUUGGAAACAGUGACUAAUACCGGAUAAAACCCAGUAGCACAUGCUACAAGGUUAAAAGCUGCGUUUGCAGCGCUUUAAGAUGGAUUCGCGGUGCAUUAGUUAGUUGGUGAGGUAAAGGCUCACCAAGACAAUGAUGCAUAGCCGAGUUGAGAGACUGACCGGCCACAUUGGGACUGAGACACGGCCCAAACUCCUACGGGAGGCUGCAGUAGGGAAUCUUCCACAAUGGGCGCAAGCCUGAUGGAGCAACGCCGCGUGUGUGAUGAAGGCUUUCGGGUCGUAAAGCACUGUUGUAUGGGAAGAACGGGUUUAAGAGGAAAUGCUUAAGCAGUGACGGAACCAUACCAGAAAGGGACGGCUAAAUACGUGCCAGCAGCCGCGGUAAUACGUAUGUCCCGAGCGUUAUCCGGAUUUAUUGG